This 473-nucleotide ribosomal RNA is filed under the name uncultured organism. RNAcentral's name for it is "partial 16S ribosomal RNA". It matches the Rfam family "Bacterial small subunit ribosomal RNA", at positions 332 to 797 of the family's 1533-position model. The record is from RNAcentral.
UACACUCCUACGGGAGGCAGCAGUGGGGAAUUUUGGACAAUGGGCGAAAGCCUGAUCCAGCAAUGCCGCGUGAGUGAAGAAGGCCUUCGGGUUGUAAAGCUCUUUUGUCAGGGAAGAAACGGUGAAAGCUAAUAUCUUUUGCUAAUGACGGUACCUGAAGAAUAAGCACCGGCUAACUCCGUGCCAGCAGCCGCGGUAAUACGUAGGGUGCAAGCGUUAAUCGGAAUUACUGGGCGUAAAGCGUGCGCAGGCGGUUUUGUAAGUCUGAUGUGAAAUCCCCGGGCUCAACCUGGGAAUUGAAUUGGAGACUGCAAGGCUAGAAUCUGGCAGAGGGGGGUAGAAUUCCACGUGUAGCAGUGAAAUGCGUAGAUAUGUGGAGGAACACCGAUGGCGAAGGCAGCCCCCUGGGUCAAGAUUGACGCUCAUGCACGAAAGCGUGGGGAGCAAACAGGAUUAGAAACCCCGGUAGUCCC